Molecule: ribosomal RNA, 416 nt
Filed under: uncultured bacterium
Lineage: Bacteria
Description: bacterial SSU rRNA
Rfam family: Bacterial small subunit ribosomal RNA
Source: RNAcentral
UGAGGAAUAUUGGGCAAUGCCCGCAAGGGUGACCCAGCAACGCCGCGUGGAGGAUGAAUGUCGUAAGAUUGUAAACUCCUGUUAGAGGGGAAGAAUAGUACCGGUUGGACCGGUAUAUGACUGUACCCUCAGAGAAAGCCCCGGCUAACUACGUGCCAGCAGCCGCGGUAAUACGUAGGGGGCAAGCGUUGUCCGGAUUUACUGGGUGUAAAGGGCGCGCAGGCGGGAUAAAAAGUCAGUGGUGAAAUCCUACAGCUUAACUGUAGAACUGCCUUGGAAACUUUUAUGCUUGAGUUCGGGAGAGAGAGACGGAAUUCCUGGUGUAGUGGUGAAAUACGUAGAUAUCUGGAAGAACACCAGUUGCGAAGGCGGUCUCUUGGUCCGACACUGACGCUGAGGCGCGAAAGCGUGGGGAG